This 497-nucleotide ribosomal RNA is filed under the name uncultured bacterium. RNAcentral describes it as "partial 16S ribosomal RNA". It matches the Rfam family "Bacterial small subunit ribosomal RNA", at positions 28 to 507 of the family's 1533-position model. The record is from RNAcentral.
GACGAACGCUGGCGGCGUGCCUAAUACAUGCAAGUAGAACGCUGAAGAGAGGAGCUUGCUCUUCUUGGAUGAGUUGCGAACGGGUGAGUAACGCGUAGGUAACCUGCCUUGUAGCGGGGGAUAACUAUUGGAAACGAUAGCUAAUACCGCAUAAAAAUGGAUGACACAUGUCAUUUAUUUGAAAGGGGCAAUUGCUCCACUACAAGAUGGACCUGCGUUGUAUUAGCUAGUAGGUGAGGUAAUGGCUCACCUAGGCGACGAUACAUAGCCGACCUGAGAGGGUGAUCGGCCACACUGGGACUGAGACACGGCCCAGACUCCUACGGGAGGCAGCAGUAGGGAAUCUUCGGCAAUGGGGGCAACCCUGACCGAGCAACGCCGCGUGAGUGAAGAAGGUUUUCGGAUCGUAAAGCUCUGUUGUAAGUCAAGAACGGGUGUGAGAGUGGAAAGUUCACAAUGUGACGGUAGCUUACCAGAAAGGGACGGCUAACUACGUG